This 253-nucleotide ribosomal RNA is filed under the name uncultured bacterium. Its description in RNAcentral is "partial 16S ribosomal RNA". It matches the Rfam family "Bacterial small subunit ribosomal RNA", at positions 524 to 776 of the family's 1533-position model. The record is from RNAcentral.
UACGUAGGGGGCUAGCGUUGUCCGGAUUUAUUGGGCGUAAAGAGCGUGUAGGCGGCGCGGUAAGUCGGGUGUGAAAUCUCGGAGCUUAACUCCGAAACUGCAUUCGAUACUGCCGUGCUUGAGGACUGGAGAGGAGACUGGAAUUUACGGUGUAGCGGUGAAAUGCGUAGAUAUCGUAAGGAAGACCAGUGGCGAAGGCGGGUCUCUGGACAGUUCCUGACGCUGAGGCACGAAGGCCAGGGGAGCAAACGGG